This is a long non-coding RNA of Uranotaenia lowii, 1218 nucleotides long. RefSeq lists it as uncharacterized. Lineage: Eukaryota; Metazoa; Arthropoda; Insecta; Diptera; Culicidae. The record is from RefSeq and is a predicted model, not a curated record. The transcript is spliced from 4 exons.
UUCGAAAUUUCAUAUCGUUUUGCUGGUCUCGAAAUUUUAAUUCGGAUGAGCUGUUAUUGGUCUUCAGAGCUCAUUAAUACAUUUUCUGGAGUCAGGACGAAGACGUAAAAUUUCGUGAGUCACGAAACUCGAGUCGCAGAAUAAUCCCCAUCAUUCCAGCAGGCCGUCAUUAGCGAGCUCGAUAAUAAUUCACCUUCUUCAAAUCUAACCCUCGUUUACACUUUGUACCUUUGUGCCAGGAACCUUGCCUUCAAUGAGGUACAUAAAAAAAAAUUAUACAGGUUGCCUUGCCUUCACCCACUAUACUGUCCCGAUUUAAAUUACCUCACGGAAAAUAAUAAAAAGGUAAAAUUCACCGAGAUCAAAAGGUGAACACUCGUGAAAGCCAAGAAGGUAACUUCUACCUCUUCGAGGUGAAUUUCACCUCGAAGCGAGGUAAACUGAAUUGAGCUGAAGCAAAAGGUGUAAUUCACCUAGAAAAAAAGGUAAAUUCAAAAAAGGUAAAUCUUACCUCUGAGCGAGGUGAAAGUUGUCUUUAUGUUUAUUGAGGUUAACCUCUCAUCAAAUCACAUAAACAAAGUUUGAUUUGGCAUGUGCAGAUAAAAUUCAUAAAAUCGGAACGGAAUAAACAGAACGAUUUGAAUUACCUAUCUUGAUGGAAAAGCAUUUUCAGCAUUUCAGAAAUGGAUCCGGCAAAAUAUCCGAACCCUGUUCAUGCUUAUUUUUUUCUACUGGAAAAUGAAUCCCAGUGGUCUGCUCAUGCCAGUUUUCCUGUCAAUUCUUCGCAAGACAAACAACGAUAAGAUUAAAAAUCUACCGAAUAAGGUGGUGUUAUGAUGGAUAUCAUUUUAAUCAAAAGCAGGUAUCAUGCAUGUCCAGGAAAAGUUUAAUCUAUGUAGUUGAGUUUCAACACAGUUCCAGUAAAGAUAUUUAUAAAAUCCGCCAAGAUAAAAUGGCCAAAAAGAAGACAAUGACAUGCCUUCAAUCAACCGCACCUUAUUCUUGUCGAUGUAGAUACUGUAUUCACAAACUAUGCUCAUCCGGAUCAAAACCGCUUUGUAGCCUUGAGUUCAUCUCAAAACGUUGGCCACUUCUCUAAUUCUAUCGAGGCUUCCUGCAUAAACUCUACAUCCAUCCCGGAAGCUGUAUUUCCAUCAAUUUCACUUAAAUACUUUGUGAACCAUAUAUUACAAGAAAAAAAGGGCAAUUCAAAUUAUA